This 4523-nucleotide long non-coding RNA is filed under the name Salmo salar (Atlantic salmon). RNAcentral's name for it is "lncRNA (ENSSSAG00000083045.1, ENSSSAG00000105311.1)". Lineage: Eukaryota; Metazoa; Chordata; Actinopteri; Salmoniformes; Salmonidae. The record is from RNAcentral.
UAAAUUCCCUGUGUCGAUACCAGAUCAGUUUGACAAGUUUGGUCAAUAGUUUUCUAGUGAAACAAUUACACAACAUGAUGACAGGUGGUGGAACUAACGUGUUUGUAGAGGAGACUAAAGAUGAUGUCAUAAGGAAAACAGGUCUUACCUAUGUUGAUGAUCUCAUAGCCCUCCUCCUCUCUCUGAUACAUUCUCUGUCUUUUUGAGGUUCCUCUUCUCCCACUUCCUAUUCACCCAGUGCUUUCCUUCUGAUACUUUUAUUGGCUGGGGAGAGGUCCUCCUUGUCGUCCUCCUUCUCUUCAGGGUUCUUCUCCUCCUCUUCAGGCUUCUCUAACUCACCCCUCUUGUAAUUCUCAAUCUUCCUUCUUUCCUCUUCUGCCAUCUCCUGCCUCUUUUUUGCCUCUGUCAUCUUCUCUCUUUCUCUGAUUAUAGCUGUGUGGCCUUCAAUUGCUUUCUUUCUCUGAUUAAAGCUCUCUCUCUUCCUCAUUUGCCUCUCCUCUGUCAGUUUCAAUCUCAUGUUUUUUAUCCUGCUCUUCUUGUCGUCGUACCCUCUUAGAUCUGUAGUUUUUAUCCUGCGCUUCUUGUUGUUGUACCCUCUCCAGCUGUCUGUCCAUCGCUAACAGUCUUUCUUCCUGCUGAUUUGUUGUUCUUUUUCUAUCCGUUCUCUUUCCCCCUACAAUAUUUCUAGCCUCCUCUCUUUAAGCCUAUUGAGCCGUUUCUUUUCUUUUAAAUCUUCUAUUUUAAUUCCAUAAUUGUCCAUGCUUAUUGUCUUCUGUUUGACUUCAUCUCCCUCAGAAAGUGACAAAGAGAGAGAUGGUGAGUGACAAAGAUAGACCUCUCCGUCCCUCUCUUGCUGUGCCUCCUCUCUUUCUCUUUCCUCCUCCUCUGCUUCCACGAUCCGUUUCUGCUUUUCUUCUCCCCCUUCCCGUCACUCAAUUUCAACUUGUUCUCUGCUCCUCCUCUCUUCUUCUCACUUCCUCCCUCUCUCUCAUAAUCAUAUUCUCUCUCUUAUAUCUCUCUCUCUGUCUCUUGUUCUCCCUCUCUCUUCCCUCCUUCUCCAUGUCAAUUUGAUUCUGUUUCUGUCUAUCUUCUUCUUGUCUCUCUUUCUCUCCUCUUGUUGUUCUUCUGUCUCUAUUUUUUUAUUUUCUUCUUCAUCUAUCUCUCUCUGUGUUUCGAUCUCCCUCUCCUUCCUCUCCCUCUCUCUGUCUCUGAUCCAUUCUCUUUCAUUGGGUCUCUAUCUGUCUCUCUUUCUCCGUCUCUCUUUCUUCCUCGUCCAUAUAAAUAUAUAAAUCUUGCAUAUCUUAAUCAAUUCAAUUGACAAAUAAUACGUUUAAUAUUGUAGGCACUUCCUACGAAUGAUUGUUACCUAUAACAAGGACUGGCAGAACAAAAUCUACGUUUUUGGUAAACAAUUAUUAUUCAUUUUAUAUUACAGCUUGUGAUUCCAUCCUAUACUGUCCCUAACAUCAUUACCCCAUAGCAACAGAUGUGGGAUACAUACACACACUUCACCACACCCCUCCCACACAAAAACGUCUACUCCCCUUCCACCGAUAGACUGACCUACACCUCACAAUACAGACUCUCACACAACCACAAACUUUGAUGUUCAACAAUUGUUCCAUCACUGAGCCCAACUCAAGAGAAGAUUAUAUGUGUGAAUGUGUACAGUUGCAGCUGUUUGAGAAGGCAUGCCAGAUUGAGCAGGAAUGGGAAGAUUUGAUUAACCAAUGUCUAGUCCUAGCUGAUGGAGCUCGGAUACACCCCUUUCCCCCAGUGCACACACACACUGGUCCCCCAUUGUGAAAUCUUCUUCCCACGCACCUCUGUGCAGUCAGACCGUUUGAUUAUUCUGUGCUGCCAAGGCUACAAUAAUAUGCCCCCUCUAUGAUUGUCAGAAUGUGACCCCCUCUUCAUGGGUUACUGCAGUCAGUUUUGCCAUCACUGCCACUACCUGGGUCGGAGUUCCCACCAGCUAUGUACGAGGUCGUCAAGGUUCUCAUUAGCAGCUUUGAGAAAAACCUUGUAUAUUGUGCUCUCCCACUCGGGGGCUUUGGCUUUGUAGGACCAACCCUGCCAAGCAGGCUAAGACUCUUUAGGGAGCAGUGCUGCUUUAGUGGGUCUCUGGUCAAGUUCAUCUUUCUGUCUUGGCUGCAAAGGCUACUUGCAGUAGUCCUAUGAACAAAAGAGUACUUCUCCUUAGUGGGUAUGCCGCUCAGGUGGAUGUGUAGGAUAUAUGGUUGGCAUCGUUCCAUCAUGACAGGAUAAUAAAAAAAAUAAACUAUAUAUUUGUAAUUUAUUUUCAAAUGUAUAUACCAUAUCUGCACAAAAGUGAAGAGUCUCUUGCACAUAUACAACCUCACAUACCCACAUUGUGUGCCUUCUAUGCCCUCUGUUACUGUUCCUACAAGCAUUUCACUACACUUGCAUUAACACCUGCUAACCAUGUGUAUGUGACAAAUAAAUUUGAUUUGAUUUUUAAUGUGUCUUCUAUGUCCUCUGUUCAUUUAACUAAAGGACAGGGCUACCACACACAGGGCUAUCGCAGACAACCCGGAGACUAUGGCAGAGGACAGGACCAAGUACAAGAAGUCUCGCUAUGACCUUCGCAGAAUCAUCCAGCAACAGCACAAUAUAGUAAUAAGGUGGAAUCAUAUCAGACAGGCUCCACCGCCCGCCACAUGUGGGCAGUCCGUUAGCGAUUACAAAGGAAGACCCAGCCUUGACGACGUGUCUCUACCAGACAAACUUAAUCAAAUCAAAGUUUAUUUGUCACGUGCACCGAAUACAACAGGAGUAGACCUUACAGUGAAAUGCUUACUUACAGGCUCUAGGUAAGUAAAGAAAUAAAAAGCGACAGUAAAAAGACAGUGAAAAAUAACAGUAGCGAGGCUAUAUACAUGUAUCAUUGAUGCUGUAACGGACCCUUUGUCAUUGAUGCUGUAACGGCUCCUUCUGUUAUUGAUGCUGUAACAGACCCUUUAUCGACUUUUGUUGACUAUUUUACAGUUUUUCUCAAUUGCUAAAACACUAAAACCCAUUGGCUGAACAAAAUUUUCAGUUGCCUGGACUCAUUUAGCUAAUUAUGCAGUCUGUUGUCAGUACCUUAAACCAUUUCACAUGGUAAAACACAAUUUGCAGAUCUCACUUAGACUUCUCAGCAAAACUCUUAACAUAUUCUAAUUCUCAAAACACAUUCUGCACUCUAAUGCACAUGUCAUCCAUACUGGUAAACACAAGUGUCAACAAUCAAAUACAGAUAGAGAACACAUGUCAUUAAUUGAACACAACCACUCAAAAUUGAUUUAACCUGUUUUCAAAUGAUGCGACACAACCAAUAUAAGCCAGUUCAGAGAGCAAACAGGUUGUUGAAGGUGGGAAGGAGAAAGUCUGAGAAUGGAUAGAAGAAACAAUGUGAGAGGACGAGGACGAGUGCGUAUGCGAGGUGGGCAAUGAGGAGGAAGAGGAGGAGGAGGGCAAGAAAGAGGAAGAGGAGGAUGAAGAGGAAAAGGAAGACAAAGAGUGGAAAUAUCUGAUGAAAUUCGAGCAACAGUUAUAGACCAUGUUCUUGUCCAUGGACUGACAAUGAGGGAAGCAGGACUUAGAGUGCAACCCAAUUUGAGCCGAUUUUCUGUGUCCACCAUAGUAAGGACAUUCAGAGAAGAGAACAGAAUUGCAAGGCUGCCACAUGCAGGUGGAAGGACAGCUAUAUUCACUCGGGAGCAAGAGGCUGUUAUAGUUGGCAUGGUCCUUCAAGAUAAUGCAACACGACUCAGAGAAAUCCAGGAACGAGUGAUACAAAACACACACUUCCAGGGAAUCGACAGUGUGAGCAUUUCCACAAUUGACCGUGUCCUCCAUCGUAACAGGAUGCGAAUGAAACAAGUAUACAGAGUACCUUUUGAGUGCAACUCACCAAGGGUGAAAGAACUGCGAGCUCAGUAUGUGCAAACAAUAUUUGACUUGGAAUCCUUGGACAGACCCCAUGAGUUCAUCUUUGUCGAUGAAGCAGGCUUCAAUCUAACAAAGAGGAGAAGGAGAGGCCGAAACAUGAUUGGACAGCGGGCCAUUGUUGAAGUCCCUGGUCAACGAGGUUGCAAUGUCACAAUCUGUGCUGCUAUCAGCAACCAUGGUGUUCUACAUCACCAUGUUACACUCGGGCCAUAUAACACCUAGCACCUUCUAAGAUUUAUUGCCAAUCUAAGAGAUAUUUUAUUUGAGCAGCAGGUUCAAGAGCAGCAGGGUAAAGAGCUAAAUGAGAAUCCCAUUCCCACCUAUGUGACAGUGUGGGACAAUGUCAGUUUCCACCGAGCUGCUCAGGUAAGGGAAUGGUUUAACAUCAAUGGGCAGUUUAUGAACUUGUACCUCCCUCCAUACUCGCCUUUCCUGAAUCCGAUUGAAUCCGUUUUUCUCCUCUUGGAGAUGGAAAGUGUGUGAUAGACAACCCUACACCAGAGUAAAUCUGCUGCAAGCCAUGGAUUUAGCCUGUGGUGAUAUAGGUGAGGAAUCAUGUCAGGGCUGGA